This 263-nucleotide ribosomal RNA is filed under the name uncultured bacterium. RNAcentral's name for it is "partial 16S ribosomal RNA". It matches the Rfam family "Bacterial small subunit ribosomal RNA", at positions 524 to 786 of the family's 1533-position model. The record is from RNAcentral.
UACAGAGGUCCCGAGCGUUGUUCGAAUUCACUGGGCGUAAAGGGUGCGUAGGCGGUCGGAUAAGUCUGACGUGAAAUGCCGGAGCUCAACUCCGGAACGGCGUUGGAAACUAUUCGGCUCGAGGAUUGGAGGGGGGACUGGAAUUCUCGGUGUAGCAGUGAAAUGCGUAGAUAUCGAGAGGAACACCUGUGGCGAAGGCGAGUCCCUGGACAAUUCCUGACGCUGAGGCACGAAAGCUAGGGGAGCAAACAGGAUUAGAUACC